UGUUUCUGUGCCCUUGCCAUUUCCCCGUUUGGUUUUUCUCAGAUUUGAAAGGAACAUGGAUUUUUUUUAAAUGAAACAAGCUGAAAAAUAAUCCUCGCAAAGCAAAAACUGAAAGCAAUUUGCAAAGCCCACUGACCAACUCUGGAAAAAAUUGGAUUAAACUGAAAGGAGCAGAGUGGGUUUUCCUGGCAGGUGGCAAACGACCCACUGAGAUUGCGAUGCCUUGCCCAAGGAAAAGCAAGCUGACUGUGAACUUGGUCUAAAGCGGGCUCUGCUGGUCCUGGCUCGGAGGCGCUCCUGCUACUUUGACAGCUGUCGUUUUGG
This is a non-coding RNA of Pogona vitticeps (central bearded dragon), 324 nucleotides long. NCBI's taxonomy places the organism in Eukaryota, Metazoa, Chordata, Lepidosauria, Squamata, Agamidae. The record is from RefSeq and is a predicted model, not a curated record.